This 69-nucleotide transfer RNA is filed under the name Ariadne merione. Its description in RNAcentral is "tRNA-Leu". Lineage: Eukaryota; Metazoa; Arthropoda; Insecta; Lepidoptera; Nymphalidae. The record is from RNAcentral.
ACUAUUUUGGCAGAAUAAUGUAGUGAUUUUAGAAGUCAUAUAAUAUAUAAUUUAAUUAUAUAAAUAGUA